Molecule: ribosomal RNA, 253 nt
Filed under: Ligilactobacillus ruminis
Lineage: Bacteria; Bacillati; Bacillota; Bacilli; Lactobacillales; Lactobacillaceae
Description: partial 16S ribosomal RNA
Rfam family: Bacterial small subunit ribosomal RNA
Source: RNAcentral
UACGUAGGUGGCGAGCGUUGUCCGGAUUUAUUGGGCGUAAAGGGAACGCAGGCGGUCUUUUAAGUCUGAUGUGAAAGCCUUCGGCUUAACCGAAGUAGUGCAUUGGAAACUGGAAGACUUGAGUGCAGAAGAGGAGAGUGGAACUCCAUGUGUAGCGGUGAAAUGCGUAGAUAUAUGGAAGAACACCAGUGGCGAAAGCGACUCUCUGGUCUGUAACUGACGCUGAGGUUCGAAAGCGUGGGUAGCAAACAGG